AGCCCGCUCGCCGGAAGACCAAGGGUUCCUGUCCAACGUUAAUCGGGGCAGGGUGAGUCGACCCCUAAGGCGAGGCCGAAAGGCGUAGUCGAUGGGAAACAGGUUAAUAUUCCUGUACUUGGUGUUACUGCGAAGGGGGGACGGAGAAGGCUAUGUUGGCCGGGCGACGGUUGUCCCGGUUUAAGCGUGUAGGCUGGUUUUCCAGGCAAAUCCGGAAAACCAAGGCUGAGGCGUGAUGACGAGGCACUACGGUGCUGAAGUGACAAAUGCCCUGCUUCCAGGAAAAGCCUCUAAGCAUCAGGUAACAUCAAAUCGUACCCCAAACCGACACAGGUGGUCAGGUAGAGAAUACCAAGGCGCUUGAGAGAACUCGGGUGAAGGAACUAGGCAAAAUGGUGCCGUAACUUCGGGAGAAGGCACGCUGAUAUGUAGGUGAAGCGACUUGCUCGUGGAGCUGAAAUCAGUCGAAGAUACCAGCUGGCUGCAACUGUUUAUUAAAAACACAGCACUGUGCAAACACGAAAGUGGACGUAUACGGUGUGACGCCUGCCCGGUGCCGGAAGGUUAAUUGAUGGGGUUAGCGGUAACGCGAAGCUCUUGAUCGAAGCCCCGGUAAACGGCGGCCGUAACUAUAACGGUCCUAAGGUAGCGAAAUUCCUUGUCGGGUAAGUUCCGACCUGCACGAAUGGCGUAAUGAUGGCCAGGCUGUCUCCACCCGAGACUCAGUGAAAUUGAACUCGCUGUGAAGAUGCAGUGUACCCGCGGCAAGACGGAAAGACCCCGUGAACCUUUACUAUAGCUUGACACUGAACAUUGAGCCUUGAUGUGUAGGAUAGGUGGGAGGCUUUGAAGUGUGGACGCCAGUCUGCAUGGAGCCGACCUUGAAAUACCACCCUUUAAUGUUUGAUGUUCUAACGUUGGCCCCUAAUCGGGGUUGCGGACAGUGUCUGGUGGGUAGUUUGACUGGGGCGGUCUCCUCCUAAAGAGUAACGGAGGAGCACGAAGGUUGGCUAAUCCUGGUCGGACAUCAGGAGGUUAGUGCAAUGGCAUAAGCCAGCUUGACUGCGAGCGUGACGGCGCGAGCAGGUGCGAAAGCAGGUCAUAGUGAUCCGGUGGUUCUGAAUGGAAGGGCCAUCGCUCAACGGAUAAAAGGUACUCCGGGGAUAACAGGCUGAUACCGCCCAAGAGUUCAUAUCGACGGCGGUGUUUGGCACCUCGAUGUCGGCUCAUCACAUCCUGGGGCUGAAGUAGGUCCCAAGGGUAUGGCUGUUCGCCAUUUAAAGUGGUACGCGAGCUGGGUUUAGAACGUCGUGAGACAGUUCGGUCCCUAUCUGCCGUGGGCGCUGGAGAACUGAGGGGGGCUGCUCCUAGUACGAGAGGACCGGAGUGGACGCAUCACUGGUGUUCGGGUUGUCAUGCCAAUGGCACUGCCCGGUAGCUAAAUGCGGAAGAGAUAAGUGCUGAAAGCAUCUAAGCACGAAACUUGCCCCGAGAUGAGUUCUCCCUGAGACUUAGAGUCUCCUGAAGGAACGUUGAAGACGACGACGUUGAUAGGCCGGGUGUGUAAGCGCAGCGAUGCGUUGAGCUAACCGGUACUAAUGAACCGUGAGGCUUAACCUU
This 1620-nucleotide ribosomal RNA is filed under the name Escherichia coli. Its description in RNAcentral is "bacterial LSU rRNA". It matches the Rfam family "Bacterial large subunit ribosomal RNA", at positions 1327 to 2925 of the family's 2925-position model. Lineage: Bacteria; Pseudomonadati; Pseudomonadota; Gammaproteobacteria; Enterobacterales; Enterobacteriaceae. The record is from RNAcentral.